This 1440-nucleotide ribosomal RNA is filed under the name Lactiplantibacillus plantarum. RNAcentral's name for it is "bacterial SSU rRNA". It matches the Rfam family "Bacterial small subunit ribosomal RNA". Lineage: Bacteria; Bacillati; Bacillota; Bacilli; Lactobacillales; Lactobacillaceae. The record is from RNAcentral.
UGCAAGUCGAACGAACUCUGGUAUUGAUUGGUGCUUGCAUCAUGAUUUACAUUUGAGUGAGUGGCGAACUGGUGAGUAACACGUGGGAAACCUGCCCAGAAGCGGGGGAUAACACCUGGAAACAGAUGCUAAUACCGCAUAACAGCUUGGACCGCAUGGUCCGAGUUUGAAAGAUGGCUUCGGCUAUCACUUUUGGAUGGUCCCGCGGCGUAUUAGCUAGAUGGUGGGGUAACGGCUCACCAUGGCAAUGAUACGUAGCCGACCUGAGAGGGUAAUCGGCCACAUUGGGACUGAGACACGGCCCAAACUCCUACGGGAGGCAGCAGUAGGGAAUCUUCCACAAUGGACGAAAGUCUGAUGGAGCAACGCCGCGUGAGUGAAGAAGGGUUUCGGCUCGUAAAACUCUGUUGUUAAAGAAGAACAUAUCUGAGAGUAACUGUUCAGGUAUUGACGGUAUUUAACCAGAAAGCCACGGCUAACUACGUGCCAGCAGCCGCGGUAAUACGUAGGUGGCAAGCGUUGUCCGGAUUUAUUGGGCGUAAAGCGAGCGCAGGCGGUUUUUUAAGUCUGAUGUGAAAGCCUUCGGCUCAACCGAAGAAGUGCAUCGGAAACUGGGAAACUUGAGUGCAGAAGAGGACAGUGGAACUCCAUGUGUAGCGGUGAAAUGCGUAGAUAUAUGGAAGAACACCAGUGGCGAAGGCGGCUGUCUGGUCUGUAACUGACGCUGAGGCUCGAAAGUAUGGGUAGCAAACAGGAUUAGAUACCCUGGUAGUCCAUACCGUAAACGAUGAAUGCUAAGUGUUGGAGGGUUUCCGCCCUUCAGUGCUGCAGCUAACGCAUUAAGCAUUCCGCCUGGGGAGUACGGCCGCAAGGCUGAAACUCAAAGGAAUUGACGGGGGCCCGCACAAGCGGUGGAGCAUGUGGUUUAAUUCGAAGCUACGCGAAGAACCUUACCAGGUCUUGACAUACUAUGCAAAUCUAAGAGAUUAGACGUUCCCUUCGGGGACAUGGAUACAGGUGGUGCAUGGUUGUCGUCAGCUCGUGUCGUGAGAUGUUGGGUUAAGUCCCGCAACGAGCGCAACCCUUAUUAUCAGUUGCCAGCAUUAAGUUGGGCACUCUGGUGAGACUGCCGGUGACAAACCGGAGGAAGGUGGGGAUGACGUCAAAUCAUCAUGCCCCUUAUGACCUGGGCUACACACGUGCUACAAUGGAUGGUACAACGAGUUGCGAACUCGCGAGAGUAAGCUAAUCUCUUAAAGCCAUUCUCAGUUCGGAUUGUAGGCUGCAACUCGCCUACAUGAAGUCGGAAUCGCUAGUAAUCGCGGAUCAGCAUGCCGCGGUGAAUACGUUCCCGGGCCUUGUACACACCGCCCGUCACACCAUGAGAGUUUGUAACACCCAAAGUCGGUGGGGUAACCUUUUAGGAACCAGCCGCCUAAG